UACGUAGGGAGCAAGCGUUGUCCGGAAUCAUUGGGCGUAAAGCGCGCGUAGGCGGCCUCAUAAGUCCGUUGUGAAAGUCAAAGGCUCAACCUUUGAAAGCCGAUGGAUACUGUGAGGCUAGAGUCCGGAAGAGGCGAGUGGAAUUCCUGGUGUAGCGGUGGAAUGCGCAGAUAUCAGGAGGAACACCGGUGGCGAAGGCGGGUCUCUGGGCAACAACUGACGCUGAGGAGCGAAAGCGUGGGGAGCGAACAGG
RNAcentral lists this ribosomal RNA (253 nucleotides) under uncultured bacterium. RNAcentral's name for it is "partial 16S ribosomal RNA". It matches the Rfam family "Bacterial small subunit ribosomal RNA", at positions 524 to 776 of the family's 1533-position model. The record is from RNAcentral.